UACAGAGGGUGUAAGCGUUAAUCGGAAUUAUUGGGCGUAAAGGGCUUGUAGGUGGUUCUAUAAGUUAGAUGUGAAAACCCUGGGCUUAACCUGGGACGUGCAUUUAAUACUGUAGAGCUAGAGUAUAGUAGAGGAGAGGGGAAUUCCUGGUGUAGCAGUGAAAUGCGUAGAGAUCAGGAGGAACAUCUGUGGCGAAGGCGCCUCUCUGGACUAAUACUGACACUGAGGAGCGAAGGCGUGGGGAUCAAACAGGAUUAGAAACCCCGGUAGU
This 271-nucleotide ribosomal RNA is filed under the name uncultured bacterium. Its description in RNAcentral is "partial 16S ribosomal RNA". It matches the Rfam family "Bacterial small subunit ribosomal RNA", at positions 524 to 794 of the family's 1533-position model. The record is from RNAcentral.